GAAUAUGGAUAUAAUUGGUGUACCAGAUGUAACGGGUGAAGCAGAGCUGAUAUCUUCAAUGAUUACCUUCUUCAAGCGCAUAGGCCUAACAGCAUCAGAUGUUGGGUUUAAGGUCUCUAGUAGAAAGGUCUUGCAAGAAGUAUUGAGGUGCUAUUCCGUCCCAGAAAAUAUGUUUGGUAGAGUUUGCAUCAUUAUAGACAAGAUCGGAAAGAUUCCAAUGGAUGAUAUCAGGAAAGAUCUGUUGUCUGCUGACAUGUCAGAGGUAGCUAUUGAAGACCUAUUGCAAGUUCUAUCAUUGAAGUCUUUGGCAAAGUUAGAAGAGAAACUUGGGGCCUCAGGAGAAGCACUAUCUGAUUUGAAGCAACUAUUUUCACUUGCUGAGAAGUAUGGCUAUUCAGAGUGGCUUGAGUUUGAUGCAUCAAUUGUCCGUGGUUUGGCCUAUUACACUGGGAUUGUGUUUGAGGGAUUUGAUCGCGAAGGAAAGCUCCGG
RNAcentral lists this unclassified non-coding RNA (490 nucleotides) under Hevea brasiliensis (rubber tree). The record is from RNAcentral. Lineage: Eukaryota; Viridiplantae; Streptophyta; Magnoliopsida; Malpighiales; Euphorbiaceae.